This 936-nucleotide ribosomal RNA is filed under the name Pediococcus pentosaceus. RNAcentral's name for it is "bacterial SSU rRNA". It matches the Rfam family "Bacterial small subunit ribosomal RNA", at positions 107 to 1029 of the family's 1533-position model. Lineage: Bacteria; Bacillati; Bacillota; Bacilli; Lactobacillales; Lactobacillaceae. The record is from RNAcentral.
UGAGUAACACGUGGGUAACCUGCCCAGAAGUAGGGGAUAACACCUGGAAACAGAUGCUAAUACCGUAUAACAGAGAAAACCGCAUGGUUUUCUUUUAAAAGAUGGCUCUGCUAUCACUUCUGGAUGGACCCGCGGCGUAUUAGCUAGUUGGUGAGGUAAAGGCUCACCAAGGCAGUGAUACGUAGCCGACCUGAGAGGGUAAUCGGCCACAUUGGGACUGAGACACGGCCCAGACUCCUACGGGAGGCAGCAGUAGGGAAUCUUCCACAAUGGACGCAAGUCUGAUGGAGCAACGCCGCGUGAGUGAAGAAGGGUUUCGGCUCGUAAAGCUCUGUUGUUAAAGAAGAACGUGGGUAAGAGUAACUGUUUACCCAGUGACGGUAUUUAACCAGAAAGCCACGGCUAACUACGUGCCAGCAGCCGCGGUAAUACGUAGGUGGCAAGCGUUAUCCGGAUUUAUUGGGCGUAAAGCGAGCGCAGGCGGUCUUUUAAGUCUAAUGUGAAAGCCUUCGGCUCAACCGAAGAAGUGCAUUGGAAACUGGGAGACUUGAGUGCAGAAGAGGACAGUGGAACUCCAUGUGUAGCGGUGAAAUGCGUAGAUAUAUGGAAGAACACCAGUGGCGAAGGCGGCUGUCUGGUCUGCAACUGACGCUGAGGCUCGAAAGCAUGGGUAGCGAACAGGAUUAGAUACCCUGGUAGUCCAUGCCGUAAACGAUGAUUACUAAGUGUUGGAGGGUUUCCGCCCUUCAGUGCUGCAGCUAACGCAUUAAGUAAUCCGCCUGGGGAGUACGACCGCAAGGUUGAAACUCAAAAGAAUUGACGGGGGCCCGCACAAGCGGUGGAACAUGUGGUUUAAUUCGAAGCUACGCGAAGAACCUUACCAGGUCUUGACAUCUUCUGACAGUCUAAGAGAUUAGAGGUUCCCUUCGGGGACUG